GUGUAUAUAUUAUAAAGUUAUUAUAUUUGAUUUGCAAUCUUAAGAUUUUUAUACACU
This 57-nucleotide transfer RNA is filed under the name Brugia malayi. RNAcentral describes it as "tRNA-Ala". Lineage: Eukaryota; Metazoa; Nematoda; Chromadorea; Rhabditida; Onchocercidae. The record is from RNAcentral.